AGAAGCGAACUCAGAGCACACGGUGGAUGCCUAGGCUCUCAGAGGCGACGAAGGGCGUGGUAAGCUGCGAAAAGCUGCGGGGAAGUGCAAACAACUAUUGAUCCGCAGAUGCCCGAAUGGGACAACCUGCUAUGGUGAAGCCAUAGCGUGAGAACGCGAACCCGGGGAACUGAAACAUCUAAGUACCCGGAGGAAAAGAAAUCAAAUGAGAUUCCCCAAGUAGUGGCGAGCGAACGGGGAUCAGCCCUAAAGCGUCUAUAAAUUUAGCAGAAAGCCCUGGAAAGGGCUGCCGUAGAAGGUGACAGCCCUGUAUGCGAAAGGUUUAUAGAUGUUAAAACGAGUAGGGCGGGACACGUGAAAUCCUGUCUGAACAUGGGGGGACCAUCCUCCAAGGCUAAAUACUCCUGAGAGACCGAUAGUGAACCAGUACCGUGAGGGAAAGGUGAAAAGAACCGCAAGAAGCGGAGUGAAAAGAUCCUGAAACCGUGUGCUUACAAGCGGUCGGAGCCCUACGGGGUGACGGCGUGCCUUUUGCAUAAUGAGCCUACGAGUUACUCCUAUCUGGCAAGUUUAAGCACUUCAGGUGCGUAGGCAUAGCGAAAGCGAGUCUGAACAGGGCGCGAGCCAGGUGGGGUAGACGCGAAACCGUGUGAUCUACCCAUGGGCAGGUUGAAGUUGGGAUAGUCUCCCAAUGGAGGACCGAACCGGUAAACGUUGAAAAGUUUUCGGAUGACCUGUGGGUAGGGGUGAAAGGCCAAUCAAACUCGGAGAUAGCUCGUACUCCCCGAAAUGCAUUUAGGUGCAGCGUCAGGAAGAGUGUCAUGGAGGUAGAGCUACCAAUAAGGCUAGGGGGCUUCACCGCCUACCAACCCUUGAUGAACUCCGAAUGCCAUGACACUGCACUGGCAGUGAGGCAGUGGGUGCGAAGGUCCAUUGCCGAGAGGGAAAGAACCCAGACCAUCAGCUAAGGCCCCAAAGUUCACGCUAAGUUGAAUGAACGAGGUGGGGAUGCUAUGACAGCUAGGAUGUUGGCUUGGAAGCAGCCAUUCAUUUAAAGAGUGCGUAACAGCUCACUAGUCGAGCGUUCCCGCGCGGAAAAUGAUCGGGCAUCAAGCGUGGCGCCGAAGCUAUGGACUCCGCAGUGCGGAGUGGUAGGGGAGCAUUCUGGCUGCGCUGAAGGUGUGCUGUGAGGCAUGCUGGAGCGGCUAGAAAAGAAAAUGUAGGCAUGAGUAACGAUAAAACAGGUGAGAAACCUGUUCGCCGCAAGACUAAGGGUUCCUUGAUCGAUGUUAAUCAGAUCAGGGUUAGUCGGGGCCUAAGGCGUAGCCGAAAGGCGAAGCUAAUGGAAAACAGGUUAAUAUUCCUGUACCUGUAUACACUAAAAAGGGGACGGAGCUGUGGAUUGCCCGCGCACUGACGGAAUAGUGCGUUAAACCUUCGGGGAUAGUACAGCGAGCCUGCAAAGGCGAGCUGAUAGCAGCAAGAAGCAGCUUCCAAGAAAAGCCGAAGUAUACAGCCCGUACCGUAAACCGACACAGGUAGUCGAGGAGAGUAUCCUAAGGCGCUCGAGUGAACCGUGGCUAAGGAACUAGGCAAAAUAGCCCCGUAACUUCGGGAGAAGGGGCGCUCACGUAAGUGAGCCGCAGUGAAGAGGCCCAGGCGACUGUUUAGCAAAAACACAGGACUCUGCAAAGCUGAAAGGCGAAGUAUAGGGUCUGACACCUGCCCGGUGCCGGAAGGUUAAGGGAGGCGCUCAUCUUCGGAGAAGGCGUUGACUGAAGCCCCGGUAAACGGCGGCCGUAACUAUAACGGUCCUAAGGUAGCGAAAUUCCUUGUCGGGUAAGUUCCGACCUGCACGAAUGGUGUAACGAUCUGGGCACUGUCUCGGCCACGAGCUCGGUGAAAUUGAAGUAUCGGUGAAGAUGCCGGUUACCCGCAACGGGACGGAAAGACCCCGUGAACCUUUACUACAGCUUCGUAUUGUGCUUGAGUAUAAGAUGUGUAGGAUAGGUGGGAGGCUUUGAAGCGGCCGCGCCAGUGGUUGUGGAGCCGUCCUUGAAAUACCACCCUUCUUAUACUUAGGUUCUAACCCUUCGGGGGACAGUGCGUGGUGGGUAGUUUGACUGGGGUGGUCGCCUCCUAAAGAGUAACGGAGGCUUACAAAGGUACCCUCAGCAUGGUUGGUAAUCAUGCGCAGAGCAUAUGAGUAUAAGGGUGCUUGACUGAGAGAGGGACGCCUCGAACAGGUGCGAAAGCAGGUUCAAGUGAUCCGGUGGUUCCGUAUGGAAGGGCCAUCGCUCAAAGGAUAAAAGGUACUCCGGGGAUAACAGGCUGAUCUCCCCCAAGAGCUCAUAUCGACGGGGAGGUUUGGCACCUCGAUGUCGGCUCGUCACAUCCUGGGGCUGGAGAAGGUCCCAAGGGUUGGGCUGUUCGCCCAUUAAAGUGGCACGCGAGCUGGGUUCAGAACGUCGCAAGACAGUUCGGUCCCUAUCUGUUGCGGGCGUUGGAAUAUUGAGAAGGGCUGACACUAGUACGAGAGGACCGUGUUGGACAUACCGCUAGUGUACCAGUUGUGCCGCCAGGUGCAGUGCUGGGUAGCUAUGUAUGGAACGGAUAAGCACUGAAAGCAUCUAAGUGCGAAGCCGGCUUCAAGAUGAGUAUUCCUUGAGGGCCGUGGAAGAUGACCACGUUGAUAGGCUACAGGUGGAAGCGCAGUGAUGUGUGGAGCUGAGUAGUACUAAUUACCCGAAAGCUUCCCGU
Molecule: ribosomal RNA, 2760 nt
Filed under: Phaeodactylibacter luteus
Lineage: Bacteria; Pseudomonadati; Bacteroidota; Saprospiria; Saprospirales; Haliscomenobacteraceae
Description: 23S ribosomal RNA
Rfam family: Bacterial large subunit ribosomal RNA
Source: RNAcentral